AGUGAACGCUGGCGGUAGGCCUAACACAUGCAAGUCGAACGGCAGCACAGUAAGAGCUUGCUCUUACGGGUGGCGAGUGGCGGACGGGUGAGGAAUACAUCGGAAUCUACUUUUUCGUGGGGGAUAACGUAGGGAAACUUACGCUAAUACCGCAUACGACCUACGGGUGAAAGCAGGGGAUCUUCGGACCUUGCGCGAUUGAAUGAGCCGAUGUCGGAUUAGCUAGUUGGCGGGGUAAAGGCCCACCAAGGCGACGAUCCGUAGCUGGUCUGAGAGGAUGAUCAGCCACACUGGAACUGAGACACGGUCCAGACUCCUACGGGAGGCAGCAGUGGGGAAUAUUGGACAAUGGGCGCAAGCCUGAUCCAGCCAUACCGCGUGGGCGAAGAAGGCCUUCGGGUUGUAAAGCCCUUUUGUUGGGAAAGAAAAGCAGCAGGUUAAUACCCCGCUGUUCUGACGGUACCCAAAGAAUAAGCACCGGCGAACUUCG
This 490-nucleotide ribosomal RNA is filed under the name uncultured bacterium. Its description in RNAcentral is "partial 16S ribosomal RNA". It matches the Rfam family "Bacterial small subunit ribosomal RNA", at positions 29 to 505 of the family's 1533-position model. The record is from RNAcentral.